GACGAACGCUGGCGGCGUGCUUAACACAUGCAAGUCGAACGGAAAGGCCCUGCUUUUGUGGGGUGCUCGAGUGGCGAACGGGUGAGUAACACGUGAGUAACCUGCCCUUGACUUUGGGAUAACUUCAGGAAACUGGGGCUAAUACCGGAUAGGAGCUCCUGCUGCAUGGUGGGGGUUGGAAAGUUUCGGCGGUUGGGGAUGGACUCGCGGCUUAUCAGCUUGUUGGUGGGGUAGUGGCUUACCAAGGCUUUGACGGGUAGCCGGCCUGAGAGGGUGACCGGCCACAUUGGGACUGAGAUACGGCCCAGACUCCUACGGGAGGCAGCAGUGGGGAAUAUUGCACAAUGGGCGGAAGCCUGAUGCAGCAACGCCGCGUGCGGGACGACGGCCUUCGGGUUGUAAACCGCUUUCGCCUGUGACGAAGCGUGAGUGACGGUAAUGGGUAAAGAAGCACCGGCUAACUGCGUG
Molecule: ribosomal RNA, 468 nt
Filed under: uncultured bacterium
Lineage: Bacteria
Description: partial 16S ribosomal RNA
Rfam family: Bacterial small subunit ribosomal RNA
Source: RNAcentral